Molecule: ribosomal RNA, 387 nt
Filed under: uncultured bacterium
Lineage: Bacteria
Description: bacterial SSU rRNA
Rfam family: Bacterial small subunit ribosomal RNA
Source: RNAcentral
AUUGAACGCUGGCGGCAGGCCUAACACAUGCAAGUCGAGCGGAUGAAAGGGGCUUGCUCCUGGAUUCAGCGGCGGACGGGUGAGUAAUACGCAGGAAUCUACCUAGUAGUGGGGGAUAACGUUUCGAAAGGGGCGCUAAUACCGCAUACGUUCUGAGGAAGAAAGCAGGGGAUCGCAAGACCUUGCGCUAUUAGAUGAGCUUGCGUCCGAUUAGCUAGUUGGUGGGGUAAAGGCCUACCAAGGCGACGAUCGGUAACUGGUCUGAGAGGAUGAUCAGUCACACUGGGACUGAGACACGGCCCAGACUCCUACGGGAGGCAGCAGUGGGGAAUUUUGGACAAUGGGGGCAACCCUGAUCCAGCCAUGCCGCGUGCGGGAAGAAGGCCU